Molecule: ribosomal RNA, 700 nt
Filed under: uncultured Verrucomicrobiota bacterium
Lineage: Bacteria; Pseudomonadati; Verrucomicrobiota
Description: bacterial SSU rRNA
Rfam family: Bacterial small subunit ribosomal RNA
Source: RNAcentral
AGGUAGCAAUAUUUUGGGUUAGCAGUGGCGUAAGGGUGCUUAACACGUGGGUAAUCUGCCGCGAAGUGUGGGAUAACUCGCUGAAAGGCGAGCUAAUACCGCAUGUGAUUUUCUUGAGGCAUCUCAGGGAAUUCAAACAUGGGUCGCAAGACCUGUGGUUUCGCGAUGAGCCCGCGGCCUAUCAGCUAGUUGGCGGGGUAAAAGCCCACCAAGGCUAAGACGGGUAGCUGGUCUGAGAGGACGACCAGCCACACUGGAACUGAGACACGGUCCAGACACCUACGGGUGGCAGCAGUCGAGAAUUUUUCACAAUGGGGGAAACCCUGAAGGAGCGACGCCGCGUGGGGGAUGAAGGGCUUCGGUUCGUAAACCCCUGUCAUUGGCGAACAAGUGUUGCAUUCUAAUACAGUGUAACUUGAUAGUAGCCGAAGAGGAAGGGACGGCUAACUCUGUGCCAGCAGCCGCGGUAAUACAGAGGUCCCGAGCGUUGUUCGGAUUCACUGGGCGUAAAGGGUGCGUAGGUGGUUGGUUAAGUUUGAGGUGAAAGCUCCGAGCUCAACUCGGAAAAUGCCUUGAAGACUAUCUGACUAGAGGAUUGGAGGGGAGAUUGGAAUUCUCGGUGUAGCAGUGAAAUGCGUAGAUAUCGAGAGGAACACCAGUGGCGAAGGCGAAUCUCUGGACAAUUCCUGACACUGAGGCA